Molecule: ribosomal RNA, 639 nt
Filed under: uncultured bacterium
Lineage: Bacteria
Description: bacterial SSU rRNA
Rfam family: Bacterial small subunit ribosomal RNA
Source: RNAcentral
GCUCAACCGGGGAGGGUCAUUGGAAACUGGGGAACUUGAGUGCAGAAGAGGAGAGUGGAAUUCCACGUGUAGCGGUGAAAUGCGUAGAGAUGUGGAGGAACACCAGUGGCGAAGGCGACUCUCUGGUCUGUAACUGACGCUGAGGCGCGAAAGCGUGGGGAGCGAACAGGAUUAGAUACCCUGGUAGUCCACGCCGUAAACGAUGAGUGCUAAGUGUUAGAGGGUUUCCGCCCUUUAGUGCUGCAGCAAACUCAUUAAGCACUCCGCCUGGGGAGUACGGUCGCAAGACUGAAGCUCAAAGGAAUUGACGGGGGCCCGCACAAGCGGUGGAGCAUGUGGUUUAAUUCGAAGCAACGCGAAGAACCUUACCAGGUCUUGACAUCCUCUGACAACCCUAGAGAUAGGGCUUCCCCUUCGGGGGGCAGAGUGACAGGUGGUGCAUGGUUGUCGUCAGCUCGUGUCGUGAGAUGUUGGGUUAAGUCCCGCAACGAGCGCAACCCUUGAUCUUAGUUGCCAGCAUUCAGUUGGGCACUCUAAGGUGACUGCCGGUGACAAACCGGAGGAAGGUGGGGAUGACGUCAAAUCAUCAUGCCCCUUAUGACCUGGGCUACACACGUGCUACAAUGGGGCAGAACAAAG